GAUGCCUACGGGACGCAGCAGUGGGGAAUAUUGGGCAAUGGGCGAAAGCCUGACCCAGCAAUGCCGCGUGAAUGAAGAAGGUCUUAGGAUUGUAAAAUUCUGUCCUAUGGGAAGAAACAAAUGACGGUACCAUAGGAGGAAGCCCCGGCUAACUACGUGCCAGCAGCCGCGGUAAUACGUAGGGGGCGAGCGUUGUCCGGAAUUACUGGGCGUAAAGGGUGCGUAGGCGGCCUGCUAAGUCUGGAGUGAUAGGUACGGGCUCAACCGGUACAGGCUCUGGAAA
RNAcentral lists this ribosomal RNA (283 nucleotides) under uncultured bacterium. Its description in RNAcentral is "partial 16S ribosomal RNA". It matches the Rfam family "Bacterial small subunit ribosomal RNA", at positions 334 to 632 of the family's 1533-position model. The record is from RNAcentral.